ACGGAGGUGGCAAGCGUUACUCGGAAUUAUUGGGUGUAAAGGGCAGGUAGGCGGCUAGGUAAGUGAGGGGUGAAAUCCCACGGUUCAAUCGUGGAACAGCCUUUCAAACUGCCUGGCUUGAGUGUGACAGGGGAAGAUGGAAUUCUCGGUGUAGGGGUGACAUCGGGAGAUGUGGGGAAGACCACCAAAAGCGAAGGGAAAAUUCUGAGUCACUUCUGCGGCUGAGCUGCGAAAGCCAGGUGAGCAAAAAG
This 251-nucleotide ribosomal RNA is filed under the name uncultured prokaryote. RNAcentral describes it as "partial 16S rRNA". It matches the Rfam family "Bacterial small subunit ribosomal RNA", at positions 525 to 775 of the family's 1533-position model. The record is from RNAcentral.